AUCGCUUCUCGGCCUUUUGGCUAAGAUCAAGUGUAGUAUCUGUUCUUAACAGUUUAAUACAUAUGAUAUAUAUUCAGUCUACAUAGAAUGAAGUAUAAUAUUUCUGCUUUUCAUUUUAAUGAGGUAAGAAAGCAGAGUACCUUUU
RNAcentral lists this small nuclear RNA (145 nucleotides) under Suricata suricatta (meerkat). Its description in RNAcentral is "U2 spliceosomal RNA (ENSSSUG00005020435.1)". It matches the Rfam family "U2 spliceosomal RNA". From Rfam's summary of the family: U2 is a small nuclear RNA (snRNA) component of the spliceosome (involved in pre-mRNA splicing). Complementary binding between U2 snRNA (in an area lying towards the 5' end but 3' to hairpin I) and the branchpoint sequence (BPS) of the intron results the bulging out of an unpaired adenosine, on the BPS, which initiates a nucleophilic attack at the intronic 5' splice site, thus starting the first of two transesterification reactions that mediate splicing. Lineage: Eukaryota; Metazoa; Chordata; Mammalia; Carnivora; Herpestidae. The record is from Rfam by way of RNAcentral.